GGAUAACCUGGUUAUUCAGCACUUCUCAAUAAGAACUUGGGCCUCUAAGGGCAUCCGCUCUUGUUGGCCCCGUUACUUUGAGCAAAUUGGAGUGCUCCAGGCAAGCUAUCGCUUGAACAGCUCAGCAUGGAAUACAGAUACGACUUUGGUCCUUCUGUGGUGACAUGGACCAAGUAAUGAUUGAUAAGGACAUAUGGGGGCGUCUGUACUCGCUGGAGAGAGGUGAAAUUCUAAGACCCAGCGAAGACAAACAAGUGCGAAAGCAUUCGCCCAAUGUGUGCCUGUUAAUCAAGGACGAAAGUUGGGGGAUCGAAGACGAUUAGAUACCGUCGUAGUCUCAACUAUAAACUAUGCCGACUGAGGAUCGGAGGUUGUACCAUUACAACUCCUUCGGCACUCCAAGAGAAAUCUAAGUCUCUGGGCCCUGGGGGGAGUAUGGUCGCAAGGCUGAAACUUAAAGGAAUUGACGGAAGGGCACCACCAGGAGUGGAGCCUGCGGCUUAAUUUGACUCAACGCGGGGAACCUCACCAGGCCCGGACAUAGUCAUGAUUGACAGAUUGAGAGUUCUUUCUCGAUUCUAUGGGUGGUGGUGCAUGGCCGUUCUUAGUCGGUGAGGUGACUUGUCUGGUUAAUUCCGAUAACGGACGAGACCUCGACCUACUGAUUAGCUGAUGCUUACGCGUAAGCUUUCAGCUUCUUAGAGGGACUUUGUG
This 714-nucleotide ribosomal RNA is filed under the name uncultured eukaryote. RNAcentral's name for it is "bacterial SSU rRNA". It matches the Rfam family "Eukaryotic small subunit ribosomal RNA", at positions 680 to 1426 of the family's 1831-position model. The record is from RNAcentral.